AACGAACGCUGGCGGCAGGCCUAACACAUGCAAGUCGAGCGAGGACUUCGGUCCUAGCGGCGGACGGGUGAGUAACGCGUGGGAACGUGCCCUUUGCUUCGGAAUAGCCCUGGGAUACUGGGAGUAAUACCGGAUGAGCCCUUUGGGGGAAAGAUUUAUCGGCGAAGGAUCGGCCCGCGUUGGAUUAGGUAGUUGGUGGGGUAAUGGCCUACCAAGCCGACGAUCCAUAGCUGGUUUGAGAGGAUGAUCAGCCACACUGGGACUGAGACACGGCCCAGACUCCUACGGGAGGCAGCAGUGGGGAAUCUUAGACAAUGGGGGAAACCCUGAUCUAGCCAUGCCGCGUGAGCGAUGAAGGCCUUAGGGUUGUAAAGCUCUUUCAGCUGGGAAGAUAAUGACGGUACCAGCAGAAGAAGCCCCGGCUAACUCCGUG
RNAcentral lists this ribosomal RNA (433 nucleotides) under uncultured bacterium. RNAcentral describes it as "partial 16S ribosomal RNA". It matches the Rfam family "Bacterial small subunit ribosomal RNA", at positions 29 to 507 of the family's 1533-position model. The record is from RNAcentral.